Cheilinus undulatus (humphead wrasse) is the source of this 558-nucleotide long non-coding RNA. RefSeq lists it as uncharacterized. The transcript has 3 exons. Lineage: Eukaryota; Metazoa; Chordata; Actinopteri; Labriformes; Labridae. The record is from RefSeq and is a predicted model, not a curated record.
CUUGAUACUCCUCGUGCCUUUCCUCGUGCUCCUUGUGGAUUUUGCUUUGGUUCUUGGACUUUGAGUUUGAUUCCUGGAUUUGAUUUUAAAGCUGAAGUUUGAGUGAUACCAAAGUGUUCUUGUUGCUUCAGGGCUUUUUUUCCUUCUUCCUGUCCAUUAGGCCCAGAUAACCUCUGCCUGCUGGACCCUAGCAUCUUAAAACCCUGUGACCCCGCCCUUGACCUUUGCCCCGACCCUCUUCCACUCCAAGACCCCCUCCCAGUCCAAGAAGAAACCAGUGAGAGGAUGCGGGUGCCUCGGAGGAAGCUCUGGUUACUGGAGCAUGUGGAUUCAUUAACAAAUAUCUGUCUGUUUGCUGCAGUAAUGAGUGAGGCUGCAAUUUAAAGUUGGAUGAACAGCCGCGUGGAAUCCAAACUGGUCGGACGGGCUGCUGGUGUCAAUCACAAGAGGAGGUUCACCAGAAGGGCACCUCCAGCCUACCUGCCUCCGUCAGCACCAACAGACAGGCUUGGAUAGUCAUGGGUGAGGGUGCUCCAUGUAAACUAGUCUGCUAAACCC